AUUGAACGCUGGCGGCAGGCUUAACACAUGCAAGUCGAGCGAGCGGCGGACGGGCGAGUAAUGUAUGGGGACUGCCCGAUAGAGGGGGAUAACUACUGGACACGGUAGCUAAUACCGCAUACUAUCGGAUAACCCAUAUGGGCGUCGCUAGUAGGUGAGGUAAUGGCUCACAUAGGCGACGUUCCCUAGCUGGUCUGAGAGGAUGAUCAGCAACACUGGGACUGAGACACGGCCCAGAAUCCUACGGAGGCAGCAGUGGGGAAUAUGGCACAAUGGGCGCAAGCCUGAUGCAGCCAUGCCGCGUGUAUGAAGAAGGCACUAGGGUUGUAAAGUACUGUCAGUCGGGAGGCGUUACCGACAGAAGAAGCACCGGCUAACUCCGUGCCAGCAGCCGCGGUAAUUC
Molecule: ribosomal RNA, 403 nt
Filed under: uncultured bacterium
Lineage: Bacteria
Description: partial 16S ribosomal RNA
Rfam family: Bacterial small subunit ribosomal RNA
Source: RNAcentral